UUCGCAAUGCCCGAAAGGGUGACGAAGCGACACCGCGUGGGUGAGGAAGGCCCUCGGGUUGUAAAGCCCUGUCAGGAGUUAAGAAAUGUAAGUGCGCUAAUAUCGCAUUAUUUGACGAAGGCUCCAAAGGAAGUCACGGCUAACUCUGUGCCAGCAGCCGCGGUAAUACAGAGGUGGCAAGCGUGGUUCGGAAUUAUUGGGCGUAAAGAGCACGUAGGUGGAUUUGCAAGUCAGAUGUGAAAGCCUUCUGUUCAACGGAAGAAUUGCAUCUGAAACUGCAGACCUUGAGUAUAGGAGGGGAGAAUGGAACUUCUGGUGGAGCGGUGAAAUGCGUAGAUAUCAGAAGGAACGCCGGCGGCGAAAGCGAUUCUCUGGCCUGUUACUGACACUCAGUGUGCGAAAGCUAGGGGAGCAAACGGGAUUAGAUACCCCGGUAGUCCUAGCCGUAAACGAUGGGCACUAAGUAGAGGGGUUUUA
RNAcentral lists this ribosomal RNA (477 nucleotides) under uncultured bacterium. RNAcentral's name for it is "bacterial SSU rRNA". It matches the Rfam family "Bacterial small subunit ribosomal RNA", at positions 365 to 833 of the family's 1533-position model. The record is from RNAcentral.